RNAcentral lists this ribosomal RNA (440 nucleotides) under uncultured bacterium. RNAcentral's name for it is "partial 16S ribosomal RNA". It matches the Rfam family "Bacterial small subunit ribosomal RNA", at positions 338 to 795 of the family's 1533-position model. The record is from RNAcentral.
CCUACGGGUGGCAGCAGUGGGGGAUAUUGCACAAUGGGGGAAACCCUGAUGCAGCGACGCCGCGUGGGUGAAGAAGCGCCUCGGCGCGUAAAGCCCUGUCAGCAGGGAAGAAAAUGACGGUACCUGAAGAAGAAGCCCCGGCUAACUACGUGCCAGCAGCCGCGGUAAUACGUAGGGGGCAAGCUGUAUCCGGAUUGACUGGGUGUAAAGGGGGCGCAGACGGCGAGGCAAGCCAGGAGUGAAAGCCCGGGGCCCAACCCCGGGACUGCUCUUGGAACUGGGUGGCUAGAGUGCAGGAGGGGAAGGCGGAAUUCCUGGUGUAGCGGUGAAAUGCGUAGAUAUCAGGAGGAACACCGGUGGCGAAGGCGGCCUGCUGGACUGCAACUGACGUUGAGGCCCGAAAGCGUGGGGAGCAAACAGGAUUAGAUACCCCUGUAGUC